GUAUCAGUAGACCUAGCUUGGAUAAAAUAAUAUUUCUAUUUAUCAGAUUCCAAACAACUUUUGGCCUUUGUUGUGGUGGUUUGAUUUUGUUUUUAAUUCUAUACUUAGCUAAUACAAUUUGUUGCAAAUAAUCCCAUUUUCAAGCAUUCACAAUUAAUUUAAUGAAUUGCAUUCUUCAUUAAAACACUGAAAAGAAAGUAUAUAGUCACAAUAAUAUGCUUAAAUAAACAUGUGUUUCAGUGCUUUGCUAAAAUGUGUGCCUCAGGCCCUGGUCUUUACCAUUUGCAUACGUUGAUUCAAAAGAUUCUAGAAUUUUUACUUGCUCAAUCUGCCAGUUUCCUUGUGGAGUCACAAUCAGUUCUGUAUAAAGAUUUGGACUCACUCUUCACACUGAAUGUGCCAUUUGUAAAAACAAGAUAUCAGGGCUAACAGGAACAACACAGAGAGGAAAAAUAGAGCUUAGAGCUAAUGGCAUAAACCUAUGGAAACAAGCUGCCUUCCCAUGGUUAAGAGACUCCACUCCAGCUGGAUAAUCCUCUUCAGGAGUCCAUCUCUUAUCACCGUCUGUCCAGGGAAGCCAUGUGCAGCUGGAGUUUUGACUUUGACAGAUCAAGACAGAUGGCAUUAGUUCACUCAUGCUGGGUCUAACCUAGGCGGUGGCCAACAUUCUCUACAGUGUUAUAAUUUUUCUUCGAUCUUUAUUUUGGGCCAACAACCUCAUGGACAGUUUAGGUGUCCCAGUGGGAUUUACAGUGAACACACAAGUUCCUGUCUCAGCAGCUGUGGCUAUUCAGGAUGUUUUGGUAAAGAUGUUGCGAGCAUCCCACAGAUCCCAGAGGAACACUGGCUAUCAGAGGGACAGGAAGAGUGCCAGCACCUUGAAAGAAAAAGGAAGAUAAAGAAACUGUCUGAGAAGAUAUCCAAAAAAGGUCAAUGAAAAUGGUGAAAGGUCUUAAACACAAUACUUAAAAGGUGCAGCUUGGGGCAAUGGUAUUGUUUAGUCUGAAGAAAAGGAAGCUCAGGGGAGACCUUCUCACUCUCUACAACUACCUGAAAGGAGGUUGUAUUGGUUUAUAUUGGUAGCUAGUGAGGAACUGAAAAACACACCUGUGUUUUAGCUACUGCUGGGCAGGGCCACCACAGCAUCAGUGCAUUCCCCUCUCACCAGUAGGCUGAGGAUGGCCAAGACCUUGGGAGCCAGCAUAGCCAGAACAGCUGAUUUGAGCAGACCAAAGGGGAAUUCCAUACUGUAUGAUGUCUGCUGAGCAAUAAAAGCUAACAGAAAUUUUGCCCAUGUAAGGGGUUGUAUUAAUUAUUACAAAGGUUCUGGAGAAACCUCUAUGUGUCCUAGAGCUCUGCUUCCUGGGAAGUGCCUGGGAAUUGCUGCUGAUGAGAAGGAGAGAAUACAUCUUUUUUUCCAUUUUAUUUUCCCUCAGCCUGGGCUGCUGAGGAGAUCAGUGAUAGAGCAGCUUGGUAGGCACCUGGUUUCUAGCCAAGAAACAAAAAUGUUGGAACAAGCUGCCUGGGCAAGUGGUGGAAUCACA
Molecule: long non-coding RNA, 1544 nt
Organism: Passer domesticus (house sparrow)
Lineage: Eukaryota; Metazoa; Chordata; Aves; Passeriformes; Passeridae
Exons: 3
Source: RefSeq, a predicted model, not a curated record